UACGGAGGGUGCAAGCGUUAUCCGGAUUCACUGGGUUUAAAGGGUGCGUAGGUGGGCUGGUAAGUCAGUGGUGAAAUCCCCGAGCUUAACUUGGGAACUGCCAUUGAUACUAUCAGUCUUGAAUACUGUGGAGGUCAGCAGAAUAUGUCAUGUAGCGGUGAAAUGCUUAGAUAUGACAUAGAAUACCAAUUGCGAAGGCAGCUGGCUACACAAAUAUUGACACUGAGGCACGAAAGCGUGGGGAUCAAACAGG
Molecule: ribosomal RNA, 253 nt
Filed under: uncultured bacterium
Lineage: Bacteria
Description: partial 16S ribosomal RNA
Rfam family: Bacterial small subunit ribosomal RNA
Source: RNAcentral